This 2900-nucleotide ribosomal RNA is filed under the name Escherichia coli 3-073-06_S4_C3. Its description in RNAcentral is "bacterial LSU rRNA". It matches the Rfam family "Bacterial large subunit ribosomal RNA". The record is from RNAcentral. Lineage: Bacteria; Pseudomonadati; Pseudomonadota; Gammaproteobacteria; Enterobacterales; Enterobacteriaceae.
UAAGCGACUAAGCGUACACGGUGGAUGCCCUGGCAGUCAGAGGCGAUGAAGGACGUGCUAAUCUGCGAUAAGCGUCGGUAAGGUGAUAUGAACCGUUAUAACCGGCGAUUUCCGAAUGGGGAAACCCAGUGUGAUUCGUCACACUAUCAUUAACUGAAUCCAUAGGUUAAUGAGGCGAACCGGGGGAACUGAAACAUCUAAGUACCCCGAGGAAAAGAAAUCAACCGAGAUUCCCCCAGUAGCGGCGAGCGAACGGGGAGGAGCCCAGAGCCUGAAUCAGUGUGUGUGUUAGUGGAAGCGUCUGGAAAGGCGCGCGAUACAGGGUGACAGCCCCGUACACAAAAAUGCACAUGCUGUGAGCUCGAUGAGUAGGGCGGGACACGUGGUAUCCUGUCUGAAUAUGGGGGGACCAUCCUCCAAGGCUAAAUACUCCUGACUGACCGAUAGUGAACCAGUACCGUGAGGGAAAGGCGAAAAGAACCCCGGCGAGGGGAGUGAAAAAGAACCUGAAACCGUGUACGUACAAGCAGUGGGAGCACGCUUAGGCGUGUGACUGCGUACCUUUUGUAUAAUGGGUCAGCGACUUAUAUUCUGUAGCAAGGUUAACCGAAUAGGGGAGCCGAAGGGAAACCGAGUCUUAACUGGGCGUUAAGUUGCAGGGUAUAGACCCGAAACCCGGUGAUCUAGCCAUGGGCAGGUUGAAGGUUGGGUAACACUAACUGGAGGACCGAACCGACUAAUGUUGAAAAAUUAGCGGAUGACUUGUGGCUGGGGGUGAAAGGCCAAUCAAACCGGGAGAUAGCUGGUUCUCCCCGAAAGCUAUUUAGGUAGCGCCUCGUGAAUUCAUCUCCGGGGGUAGAGCACUGUUUCGGCAAGGGGGUCAUCCCGACUUACCAACCCGAUGCAAACUGCGAAUACCGGAGAAUGUUAUCACGGGAGACACACGGCGGGUGCUAACGUCCGUCGUGAAGAGGGAAACAACCCAGACCGCCAGCUAAGGUCCCAAAGUCAUGGUUAAGUGGGAAACGAUGUGGGAAGGCCCAGACAGCCAGGAUGUUGGCUUAGAAGCAGCCAUCAUUUAAAGAAAGCGUAAUAGCUCACUGGUCGAGUCGGCCUGCGCGGAAGAUGUAACGGGGCUAAACCAUGCACCGAAGCUGCGGCAGCGACGCUUAUGCGUUGUUGGGUAGGGGAGCGUUCUGUAAGCCUGUGAAGGUGUGCUGUGAGGCAUGCUGGAGGUAUCAGAAGUGCGAAUGCUGACAUAAGUAACGAUAAAGCGGGUGAAAAGCCCGCUCGCCGGAAGACCAAGGGUUCCUGUCCAACGUUAAUCGGGGCAGGGUGAGUCGACCCCUAAGGCGAGGCCGAAAGGCGUAGUCGAUGGGAAACAGGUUAAUAUUCCUGUACUUGGUGUUACUGCGAAGGGGGGACGGAGAAGGCUAUGUUGGCCGGGCGACGGUUGUCCCGGUUUAAGCGUGUAGGCUGGUUUUCCAGGCAAAUCCGGAAAAUCAAGGCUGAGGCGUGAUGACGAGGCACUACGGUGCUGAAGCAACAAAUGCCCUGCUUCCAGGAAAAGCCUCUAAGCAUCAGGUAACAUCAAAUCGUACCCCAAACCGACACAGGUGGUCAGGUAGAGAAUACCAAGGCGCUUGAGAGAACUCGGGUGAAGGAACUAGGCAAAAUGGUGCCGUAACUUCGGGAGAAGGCACGCUGAUAUGUAGGUGAAGUCCCUCGCGGAUGGAGCUGAAAUCAGUCGAAGAUACCAGCUGGCUGCAACUGUUUAUUAAAAACACAGCACUGUGCAAACACGAAAGUGGACGUAUACGGUGUGACGCCUGCCCGGUGCCGGAAGGUUAAUUGAUGGGGUUAGCGCAAGCGAAGCUCUUGAUCGAAGCCCCGGUAAACGGCGGCCGUAACUAUAACGGUCCUAAGGUAGCGAAAUUCCUUGUCGGGUAAGUUCCGACCUGCACGAAUGGCGUAAUGAUGGCCAGGCUGUCUCCACCCGAGACUCAGUGAAAUUGAACUCGCUGUGAAGAUGCAGUGUACCCGCGGCAAGACGGAAAGACCCCGUGAACCUUUACUAUAGCUUGACACUGAACAUUGAGCCUUGAUGUGUAGGAUAGGUGGGAGGCUUUGAAGUGUGGACGCCAGUCUGCAUGGAGCCGACCUUGAAAUACCACCCUUUAAUGUUUGAUGUUCUAACGUUGACCCGUAAUCCGGGUUGCGGACAGUGUCUGGUGGGUAGUUUGACUGGGGCGGUCUCCUCCUAAAGAGUAACGGAGGAGCACGAAGGUUGGCUAAUCCUGGUCGGACAUCAGGAGGUUAGUGCAAUGGCAUAAGCCAGCUUGACUGCGAGCGUGACGGCGCGAGCAGGUGCGAAAGCAGGUCAUAGUGAUCCGGUGGUUCUGAAUGGAAGGGCCAUCGCUCAACGGAUAAAAGGUACUCCGGGGAUAACAGGCUGAUACCGCCCAAGAGUUCAUAUCGACGGCGGUGUUUGGCACCUCGAUGUCGGCUCAUCACAUCCUGGGGCUGAAGUAGGUCCCAAGGGUAUGGCUGUUCGCCAUUUAAAGUGGUACGCGAGCUGGGUUUAGAACGUCGUGAGACAGUUCGGUCCCUAUCUGCCGUGGGCGCUGGAGAACUGAGGGGGGCUGCUCCUAGUACGAGAGGACCGGAGUGGACGCAUCACUGGUGUUCGGGUUGUCAUGCCAAUGGCACUGCCCGGUAGCUAAAUGCGGAAGAGAUAAGUGCUGAAAGCAUCUAAGCACGAAACUUGCCCCGAGAUGAGUUCUCCCUGACUCCUUGAGAGUCCUGAAGGAACGUUGAAGACGACGACGUUGAUAGGCCGGGUGUGUAAGCGCAGCGAUGCGUUGAGCUAACCGGUACUAAUGAACCGUGAGGCUUAACCU